GACGUAUGGUGUAGUGGUAACAUCACGCACUUCUGGUGCGAGAGGUCCGGGUUCAAUUCCCGUCGCU
RNAcentral lists this transfer RNA (67 nucleotides) under Chattonella subsalsa. Lineage: Eukaryota; Raphidophyceae; Chattonellales; Chattonellaceae. The record is from RNAcentral.